GCAAACUUGGUCAUUUAGAGGAAGUAAAAGUCGUAACAAGGUUUCCGUAGGUGAACCUGCGGAAGGAUCAUUCACAAUAAGUGUUUAUGGCACUUUUUUAAAAAAUCCAUAUCCACCUUGUGUGCAACGUAAAGGAAAAGAGAAGAGAAAAGGAUUUUAAAUCUUUUUCAUUCUCUCUUUUUCUCUCACUACACCUUUCUAUUGAAUCUAUUGUCUAAAGUCUAUUAUGAAUAUAUAAUUCAAAAUACAACUUUCAACAACGGAUCUCUUGGCUCUCGCAUCGAUGAAGAACGCAGC
Molecule: unclassified non-coding RNA, 297 nt
Filed under: uncultured fungus
Lineage: Eukaryota; Fungi
Description: partial contains small subunit ribosomal RNA, internal transcribed spacer 1, and 5.8S ribosomal RNA
Rfam family: Eukaryotic small subunit ribosomal RNA (bases 1-73)
Source: RNAcentral